ACGGAAGGCAGCAGUGGGGGAUAUUGCACAAUGGGGGAAACCCUGAUGCAGCGACGCCGCGUGAGUGAAGAAGUAUUUCGGUAUGUAAAGCUCUAUCAGCAGGGAAGAUAAUGACGGUACCUGACUAAGAAGCACCGGCUAAAUACGUGCCAGCAGCCGCGGUAAUACGUAUGGUGCAAGCGUUAUCCGGAUUUACUGGGUGUAAAGGGUGCGUAGGUGGUAUGGCAAGUCAGAAGUGAAAACACGGGGCUCAACCCCGUGACUGCUUUUGAAACUGUCAAACUAGAGUGCAGGAGAGGAAAGCGGAAUUCCUAGUGUAGCGGUGAAAUGCGUAGAUAUUAGGAGGAACACCAGUGGCGAAGGCGGCUUUCUGGACUGUAACUGACACUGAGGCACGAAAGCGUGGGGAUCGAACAGGAUUAGAUACCCUGGUA
Molecule: ribosomal RNA, 434 nt
Filed under: uncultured bacterium
Lineage: Bacteria
Description: partial 16S ribosomal RNA
Rfam family: Bacterial small subunit ribosomal RNA
Source: RNAcentral